Phlebotomus argentipes is the source of this 1023-nucleotide long non-coding RNA. RefSeq lists it as uncharacterized. The transcript is spliced from 5 exons. The record is from RefSeq and is a predicted model, not a curated record. Lineage: Eukaryota; Metazoa; Arthropoda; Insecta; Diptera; Psychodidae.
ACUUAACAGUAUGCAAAAUUUUAAGAAAUUUGAAAAGGAAUUCAAUUAUUCCUUAUUGUUGUAUAGAAUUUUGUAUUUACAUAUUUAAAUUGAAAUUAACUUGCUAAUGAAAUUUCGAACCACAUAAAAGACUUUCUGAGUUCUACAAUGUGUUCAAAGUUAUUUUGUUCUAAAGUUACUGCAUUGAACUCUGAGAAAAUGAAGACUCUUUUCGCAGUAAUAUUUGCUGUCCUGGAUUUGUUCCUUCUAGGAGCUGCAGUUGCUCAAUCAGACGGAUGGCGUGUUGAGAGUCGAGCACAAGCAAGUACAUAUCCUAUGCAUCAUCCGGCAUUUGAUUUUCCACCCUGUUCACCGCAAUAAACCUGCGCUAAACCAAGAGGCAUCUUUUUUGCGAAAAUACAUUAAAAGGUUUUUAAAAACUUGCAAUUCUUUAUUUAAUUGAUCUCGCGGUUCUUUGCAAAUGUCUUUUGGAAAACCUUCAGAGAGAAAUGUUUGUCUAAUAAGAAGUGAACUUGCGACGUUGGAAAGACAUAUUAUAAAGAAAUAUAGUUUCAAAAGGUAAACCAAUUAUUUGCUUGAGUAAGUUAAAUACCUUUUUUAAUAGUCUAUUAGAAUUGAAAAUUGAGUGAAAAAAAGCAAUAAUGCCAAUGGCUGAUAUAAAAGCAGCAAUAUUUUCAGCAAUUCACAAGUGAAUUUUUCUCUACGUGGAAAGUUAAAAGGAGCUGAAUUUUCAGAAAAAUGAACUUAGUUUUCGCAUCGUCGUUUGUCCUGUUGGCUUUGCUAUUCUUUGGAGUUGAUUCAUCGGAAAGUUUGACUAAUUUCCGCGAGAGACGCCAAAAUCGCCAAGAUCCUCCUCCAUUUUAUAUACCUGAUGGAAAUUAAGGGAAUAAAUGUUAAUUAGAAAGGCAUACAAAAACUGUCAAUUUUAGGGACGAAUUGUAAAAAAAGAGACAAUUUCUCAAUGAAUUAAUUUUUCUUCUUUAUUUAGAAUAUUUGCUGUCAAUUUAUUGCCCCACAUCACGA